CCUACGGGAGGCAGCAGUAGGGAAUCUUUCACAAUGGGCGAAAGCCUGAUGGAGCAACGCCGCGUGCAGGAUGAAGGCCUUCGGGUUGUAAACUGCUUUUAUAAGCGAGAAAUAUGAUGGUAACUUAUGAAUAAGGAUCGGCUAACUACGUGCCAGCAGCCGCGGUCAUACGUAGGAUCCGAGCAUUAUCCGGAGUGACUGGGUGUAAAGAGUUGCGUAGGUGGCAUAAUAAGUAGCUAGUGAAAUCUGGUGGCUCAACCAUUCAGACUAUUAGCUAAACUGUUAAGCUCGAGACCGUUAGGGGUAACUGGAAUUUCUAGUGUAGGAGUGAAAUCCGUAGAUAUUAGAAGGAACACCAAUAGCGUAGGCAGGUUACUGGGACGGUUCUGACACUAAGGCACGAAAGCGUAGGGAGCAAACGGGAUUAGAUACCCCAGUAGUC
RNAcentral lists this ribosomal RNA (442 nucleotides) under uncultured bacterium. RNAcentral describes it as "partial 16S ribosomal RNA". It matches the Rfam family "Bacterial small subunit ribosomal RNA", at positions 338 to 795 of the family's 1533-position model. The record is from RNAcentral.